GGAUUUAUUGGAUCUUGUUGAACCUAUUGAUACUGUCAAAUGGUUCUGUUUUGCCUGUCGUAUCGAUAGGUUCCUUAGAACAAACUCCACAGUCAUUUUACCGUCUCAACUAUGUUGCCUUCCAUGUGUCUUCUUUAUUGCUUUUAUUGCUUCCACUUCUUUGUUGCCUAAACGAUAUAUCUCUUUCUCUAGCCACUCCAUCAAAGUAUAUGUCCAUCAUAUCUUCCUCAUCUUCAUCAAGAGAAUCCUCGUCUAAAUUAAGAAUAUUGGCUUCCUCAUCUUCAUCAAGAGAAUCCUCCCCCAAAUCAAAUGUAUUUGAAACUAAGACCUUGACUCAUUCUUCUUUGCAAUCACCCAUUUAGGCACAAAUACGGAAGCUUGUGGACUUAAUUUUCUAUUCAAAGUAGGCGGAGGAAGAUGUGGACCACUUCAGUGCCUCUGGGGAAUUUGCAAAAACGAUUUGGUCAUCUCUUUGUGGUUCACUGGGGAUCAUGUUAGAUAAUAUCCCCAUUAGAAUGAUAAUCAAGUUUUGGUGGACUUGGAAAAAUAAGAACCCAGUUCUGGACAGGUUAUGAAAUGCCUUCAUGCUAUCACCUUGUGGGAGGUGUGGACAACAAGAUGUGGAGUCAAAUACGACAAGGAGAUCUACAACACAAGUAAAACUAUUAACAAUAUUUCUACUAGCCUGGUCCUGAUUCUCAAAGGACACUUUGAGAUAAUUAAGCUUGACCCUACCUGGGACUCAAUCUGUCACUUGUUAACAAGCAACAUCUACACAAAAAAAUUAUUUAAGUCAAGUAGUUGAAUCACUCUAACAGUUUUGUGAAGAUCAAUUUCGAUGGAAGCUUUAAGGAGGGCUACUGUGGAAGAGGUGGAAUGACCAGAGAUCAUUGUGGUCAUGUGGUGUGAUGCUCCUGUGUCUAUGAUCCAAGAGUCAACAUUCAAUUUUACACAUUUACAAGAAAGAUCACCAACAUCAGUAAUAGAGGAGUAACAAGCAAGUAUACCUGCCAGAUUCACAGCUCCAUUCAACAUUAUGUAUGAGUUGUCUGAGUCAGAAGCUCCCAUUUUAACUUGCAGAGUCCUUAAAUGGUUAAGCAAUUGUUUAUAUUGUUCUUUGGAUAGGUUCAAUGGCAUUUGCCUCUUUAAUUCAGGUCCAUCCUUAGCCUAAUGCACAUUCAUAUCAGAUGCACACACAUGUGAUGUAGAACCUGUGCCUUUUCCCUUUUGAACCAUUGAAUUGGAUGGAUACCCAUGAAGCUUGUAACAUCUAUCCUUUGUGUGCGUGAUAUCUUGCAGUAAUCACAAAACAAAGAUGACCUGCCAGUACUGGAGUUGCCCCUAAUCAUAACAUUUGUGUUUGUAUUUGCAGAACUAGUUCCAUUAUCUCUAGAUGAAUUGUAGUUAGUUCUGAACCCUUUACAUUCUGCAUUAUUGUUGGUCUGGCCAUAGGCAUUCAGUGAGGUAGAAUCUAAGUCUGUAUGAUUGUGAGGUCUCACUUCUCUUUGUUUUUCCUUUUGGGACAAGAUGGCAAAAGCUUGAGCGAUGCUAGGAAGUAUAUUGAUCAUGAGAA
This is a long non-coding RNA of Solanum lycopersicum (tomato), 1573 nucleotides long. RefSeq lists it as uncharacterized. NCBI's taxonomy places the organism in Eukaryota, Viridiplantae, Streptophyta, Magnoliopsida, Solanales, Solanaceae. The record is from RefSeq and is a predicted model, not a curated record.